UAAUACGGAGGGUGCAAGCGUUAAUCGGAAUUACUGGGCGUAAAGCGCACGCAGGCGGUUUGUUAAGUCAGAUGUGAAAUCCCCGGGCUCAACCUGGGAACUGCAUUUGAAACUGGCAAGCUAGAGUCUCGUAGAGGGGGGUAGAAUUCCAGGUGUAGCGGUGAAAUGCGUAGAGAUCUGGAGGAAUACCGGUGGCGAAGGCGGCCCCCUGGUACGAAGACUGACGCUCAGGUGCGAAAGCGUGGGGAGCAAACAGGAUUAGAUACCCUGGUAGUCCACGCUGUAAACGAUGUCGAUUUGGAGGUUGUGCCCUUGAGGCGUGGCUUCCGGAGCUAACGCGUUAAAUCGACCGCCUGGGGAGUACGGCCGCAAGGUUA
Molecule: ribosomal RNA, 377 nt
Filed under: uncultured Serratia sp.
Lineage: Bacteria; Pseudomonadati; Pseudomonadota; Gammaproteobacteria; Enterobacterales; Yersiniaceae
Description: bacterial SSU rRNA
Rfam family: Bacterial small subunit ribosomal RNA
Source: RNAcentral